This 497-nucleotide ribosomal RNA is filed under the name uncultured bacterium. RNAcentral describes it as "partial 16S ribosomal RNA". It matches the Rfam family "Bacterial small subunit ribosomal RNA", at positions 28 to 507 of the family's 1533-position model. The record is from RNAcentral.
GAUGAACGCUGGCGGCGUGCCUAAUACAUGCCAGUCGAGCGAACGGACGAGAAGCUUGCUUCUCUGAUGUUAGCGGCGGACGGGUGAGUAACACGUGGAUAACCUACCUAUAAGACUGGGAUAACUUCGGGAAACCGUAGCUAAUACCGGAUAAUAUUUUGAACCGCAUGGUUCAAAAGUGAAAGACGGUCUUGCUGUCACUUAUAGAUGGAUCCGCGCUGCAUUAGCUAGUUGGUAAGGUAACGGCUUACCAAGGCAACGAUGCAUAGCCGACCUGAGAGGGUGAUCGGCCACACUGGAACUGAGACACGGUCCAGACUCCUACGGGAGGCAGCAGUAGGGAAUCUUCCGCAAUGGGCGAAAGCCUGACGGAGCAACGCCGCGUGAGUGAUGAAGGCCUUCGGAUCGUAAAACUCUGUUAUUAGGGAAGAACAUAUGUGUAAGUAACUGUGCACAUCUUGACGGUACCUAAUCAGAAAGCCACGGCUAACUACGUG